AUUGAACGCUGGCGGCAGGCCUAACACAUGCAAGUCGAACGAGUGGCGGACGGGUGAGUAAUGUCUGGGAAACUGCCUGAUGGAGGGGGAUAACUACUGGAAACGGUAGCUAAUACCGCAUACCAUCGGAUGUGCCCAGAUGGGAUUAGCUAGUAGGUGGGGUAAAGGCUCACCUAGGCGACGAUCCCUAGCUGGGCUGAGAGGAUGACCGACCACACUGGAACUGAGAAAAGGGCCAGACUCCUACGGGAGGGAGAAGUGGGGAAGAUUGCACAAUGGGCGCAAGCCUGAUGCAGCCAUGCCGCGGGUAUGAAGAAGGCCUUCGGGUUGUAAAGUACUUUCAGCGGGGAGGCGUUACCCGCAGAAGAAGCACCGGCUAACUCCGUGCCAGCAGCCGCGGUAAUAC
RNAcentral lists this ribosomal RNA (406 nucleotides) under uncultured bacterium. Its description in RNAcentral is "partial 16S ribosomal RNA". It matches the Rfam family "Bacterial small subunit ribosomal RNA", at positions 29 to 526 of the family's 1533-position model. The record is from RNAcentral.